RNAcentral lists this long non-coding RNA (831 nucleotides) under Helianthus annuus (common sunflower). The record is from RNAcentral. Lineage: Eukaryota; Viridiplantae; Streptophyta; Magnoliopsida; Asterales; Asteraceae.
AAGGCUACCUAGGUGUCGAAUCCUUAGAAUCAUGCAAUGCUAAUGUGACAAUGAUAACGGUUAAAUAUCUAUUUCCCUCGAUUGACCCCCCGCUAGAGAUGUCCCAAACAAGAAAGCAAGACUAAAUGUGAAGUGCUAGAACGAACAGGCUCGAGCUAUCGAUACCAAAUCCUACGAAAAUAGAAUCCUAUUGACCUCAGAGACAGUUAUGUUAAGAGAAGAUCCCAAAAUCGCAAAGCAAACCCAACUUUGAUAAUUGAAAUCCUAGAAAACCUUAAUUACGAUGCAAUAAACGAGCCCGAGCUAUCGGUCACCCAAUCUACCCACCAAUAAUUUGCUAAUAACCUAGCUCACCCUAAUCGUCUUUCGAGUCACAAGAUGAGGAUGCAAUCUAGGGGGAAUUUCUUCGUGCCUAAACCGCUGAAUUUAUUGACUAAUAAAAUAACCAAAACAUACCAACAUGCAAUAUCAAGAUCAAUAUCAAAGAAAAGUUAUGUAAAUCACAUCAAAUAACCGAAAACAUGUCACAAACGCAUUACAAUCCUCUAGUUCAUCAAAACCCAGGUAGUUUAGAAGUUUAGCUACUCAUAAUCAAGAACCAAACAAAUUCAGUUGUGAAAAUCAAACAAAACAUGGUUUCGAUGCGAAAGAUUAGAAAAAUUAAAUAUAAUAUCAAACCCGUAAUGCUCCCAACUCAAACUGAAUAUUUCUUCUUUCUUGCUCCAAACGAAACAGCCCUUCUCUUUAUUUUUCUUAUCUUCGCACCCACUGUUGUUGUAUGCGACAACAAUAAUAAGAAUCCUCCUCAAAGUCCUUGCUGACGUCUUUUCU